This is a long non-coding RNA of Cygnus olor (mute swan), 952 nucleotides long. RefSeq lists it as uncharacterized. The transcript has 7 exons. Lineage: Eukaryota; Metazoa; Chordata; Aves; Anseriformes; Anatidae. The record is from RefSeq and is a predicted model, not a curated record.
CUUGGAGCUGCCAGGGCCGUUCAUGGGCCUUGCACGAGGCGAUCGCCAGCCCUCAGGCAGGUCAGGCCAUGCCCUUUCCUCCUGCCGCAAAACCUGCAUCACCCUGCCCACGCAUGGGCUCAGCAGCCUUCUCUUCCUCCCUGCAGCUGCCUCGGGCUGGCCCCAGCCUGGGUGAGGAGAGCGGAGGGCACAGCCCCAGCGGCCUUGACAGAGGAAGGAUAUCGGUGCUUUUAAUGGGUGUUCACACAGACAUAACUACAGGCGAUGGAAAGAAACUGAAAAGCGUGAGCAUGGAGGAGAUGCGUCAGACAACAUCCCAUGGUGGAGCCUGAGGGAAACGCCGGCCACCUCACCGCCCUAGGUCCUGGUCCUUGAGAGCCCCCCACAACCAGGCUUUAGCCAAGGGCUGAAGAGCAUGCAGGCCUGGGUUUCUGAAGAGGUUUGCCUGGUGUGCAGAAAAUAUCCACGGCCAUCCCAUGGUCCUCACCUCGGCUUUGAGCCCAGCUCAGCUCCUCACUAGGCCUGGGAGAGCAGGACCAAUUCUCUCUUCUGCAGCCUUGUGCCAGACCUCAAGGUGGAGGAUAUCAUGAGAUACCAUAAAUUGCCUGACAAUCCAGGAGUUAUAUGAGAAGUCCAUACAUACUGGCCUUAUUUUACUCUCAAGUCUGAAGCAGACCUGACUGGGGAUUUCUGGGGGACAUUACUACCCCUGCAAGCUGUCACCCAGCCUAGGCAAGGCCUUCACAAUGCCGGCUUUUUACAAUCCAACAUAAACAUGCAACUGGGAGGAUGCCAGAUUUGCAUUUUCUUAUAAAAACACAGAUUUUCAGCUCUCAUUCCUCAAAUUCAAACUCCACCCAUUGCACCAAUCAUCCCCAAAAGCAUCGGCAGGUCUCCUGGCACAUGUAUAAAAGCAGACGGGGCAGGACACCCCUCACAGUGUGCUGUACAU